AUUUUUAGUAUUGACAAACUUCAGUUGAUAUUUAUGAUUUUUUAACACUACGCAGGUACAUAAUUAUACAUUUUAUAAGUUUUUCUCUUAAAUUUUACCUCUCGUAAUUUUUCCUUAGGUAGGUGAUAGUGCGAAAGGCUCUGCUAAACUAUUUUAGUUUUUUAAGAGAUAUUUUUGUAGUUUUCAAGUUUCUUUCAGUCUGUUGUCUGCGUUGCAAAUCGAGGUUCAUCUACUGAUGGUCAAGUGCGGAACCACGCAUAUCCGUUUGCGGCGUUGCAAACCUCCGGUCAUAUUUACUUUUUUCUGUGACUGCGAGUCCACGUAAUUUUUUCGAAAACCUCCUAGAUUUUUCUGCAAUUUGCGCAGAAUAUUUUGUAAGAUGGCUAUGAAGUUCGCUUGUUUCUCCUCGUAAAAAUAGAACGAUCGGAAAUUUUGAAGCACUGCAGUGACGAUACGUGGUUUCAGACUUCGGCUAUCGAUUCACUGUUUGUUGCAGUUUCACCGUCGAUAAUAUCUAUGCUAAGGUGGAUUUUAUUUCACGGAGCCUUGGACCCGCAAUACGUAGACUUCACGAAUAUCCUUAUCCGUGACCAAAUUUCCGUACAUUACACGGGAAGCCUCGGGCCUCCAAGCCAGUCUCGUUGAUCUACUCUGGAUUCUGCUGUUAUUGUCAUUAUCUGACUGAUAACUCGAACCCCGAUAACGAGUCGUUGACAAUAAGUCGAGACCAUUUGGCUGGUUCGUGUAACACACAUAUAUGACAAUUCUGCAAGAAAUCUAGCGGAGGGGCGAGAAAAAAUUGUGAAAAACAGCACUGAGGAAGACCGAGAAAGAUUGCACUGUGACUAUCCCAUAGAAUUGACAUCUGUAUCUAAUGUCUAUCAGCCCUGCAGUGUGGAUCAGGGUGAAACCGUUUCCUGUCCACCGAGCACAGCAGCGCUCAAAGUUUACAGAAUUCCCAAACCUCUCACCAAAAUUGAUAUACGUCAGAUGGAGCGAUUAGCAUCAUGAUAGCAUUUUUCGCAAGACUGGAAGGUUGAAAGCUUUUGGAGUGCUGAAGUAUUAUUGACAAGUGAGAGUCUUUCUUAAUUCCCGCCUCGUGUCUGGGUGACUUGGACUUCAUCUGGAAUCCUUUACAAGAAGAGGAACACCAUCGUUUUAUUUGUCUUUGAAUUCCAUUUUGAUGAGUAAGUCUGUAAGAAUGUAGGUAGUCCUUCAAUUGUCAUCAUUUUAGAUUGCAUAGUGUUGCUAUAAUUCCCAACUUAGGGCUGUGUGUUUUAAGCAAGCCCAGUGUUAUCAGACUUUAUUCUUCUUUACUGUCAGUAUUUUUUAUCAGUAUUAUUGGUUUUUGUAUUAUAUUAAUAUUCCACUAGUAUUGAA
RNAcentral lists this long non-coding RNA (1380 nucleotides) under Bemisia tabaci. RNAcentral describes it as "lncRNA ENSASIAIIG009123". Lineage: Eukaryota; Metazoa; Arthropoda; Insecta; Hemiptera; Aleyrodidae. The record is from RNAcentral.